This is a long non-coding RNA of Oryzias melastigma (Indian medaka), 1130 nucleotides long. RefSeq lists it as uncharacterized. The record is from RefSeq and is a predicted model, not a curated record. The transcript has 2 exons. NCBI's taxonomy places the organism in Eukaryota, Metazoa, Chordata, Actinopteri, Beloniformes, Adrianichthyidae.
UACAUGCUUCCAGACCCGAGUAAUGCCCAGGGAAAGAGCGAAAUUGAGAACAAGGAGGAAGAGCUUUAAACAAUUUCCUGGGCCCAUCAUCUUUAGGAAAUAUGAGAGCAUUGGUAAAUAGAAUUGAUGAGCUCCCAGUGCAGAUGAGGACACAGCAGGCGGAAUAAUGAAAGCGGCUUAAUGCAAUUUCCUGAGACAUGCCUGUAGGUUGCAGACGGAGCGGCAGAGAAAAAGGGAGUGGGGAUUUCCAAAGAACCAUCUAGAAAACGACAACUUUUCUCUGAUUUGUUAGCUAAAGUCAGCUGUCAUGGCAGCAAAUCCAAGAACGCCACCGAGAGUAACGUGCUCACAUACCAGACGUCAGACAUCGUUGUGAACACGCCAUCUUUCAGCGACUCUGGAGACAUCCAGCGAACAGGAAGCAGGCCUUUCCCCCCUUUUCGGUAAUAAUCCGUCUCAUAAAUAUCUCUCGUCAUGCCAAAAUCUGAAGGAGGAGGAAAAAAAACAAAAAAAAAGUGAGGUUAGGAGACCUGCUAAAUACGUGCCGAUCUAUCCCACCCACCUACUCACUCUCCAUCUAUAUUAAGACUCUACUAUUUCACGACACUGGAGAACCUAGAGGUAUCACCUACCUCCAAUCUUCACUGUGAAAUCCUCCGUAACCAUGCAGUUCCUGGCGGCCAGGUCUCUGUGGACGAAUUUGUUGGCGUUCAGGUAAGCCAUGCCAUCUGCAAUUUCUCCAGCCAUCUGGAUCAUCUUUUUAAGUGGUGGCAGGACCUGAGUGUUGGAGUUCUGUGGCACAGCAAAGACAGCGCAUCAUUAACGAUGCCAGACUUCAUAUGUAAUCACGUAACAGUGAAGUUCCAGUCACUUUAAGAUAUUCCACGUGAUAUUUGGUGCUUGUUUUUGGAGUAAAAGCCGCUUACUUCAUUUCGUAGGGAGCGCAGGUGGCUCUUGAGGUCUCCCCGGGUCAUCAGCUCCAUGAUCACCAAGGUUGGUUGUCCCUGUGAGACUACACCGAGGAGCCGCACCUACAUUAAUCACAGCAGAGCAACAGUUCAGCGGACGCACUCUGGCUCAUUAAAGUUUGCCUUCACCGGAAAAAAUGUCCUCAGUAAAAAAAAUAAAAA